GAUGAACGCUGGCGGCGUGCCUAAUACAUGCAAGUCGAGCGAACAGAUAAGGAGCUUGCUCCUUUGAAGUUAGCGGCGGACGGGUGAGUAACACGUGGGUAACCUACCUAUAAGACUGGGAUAACUUCGGGAAACCGGAGCUAAUACCGGAUAACAUUUAGAACCGCAUGGUUCUAAAGUGAAAGAUGGUUUUGCUAUCACUUAUAGAUGGACCCGCGCCGUAUUAGCUAGUUGGUAAGGUAACGGCUUACCAAGGCGACGAUACGUAGCCGACCUGAGAGGGUGAUCGGCCACACUGGAACUGAGACACGGUCCAGACUCCUACGGGAGGCAGCAGUAGGGAAUCUUCCGCAAUGGGCGAAAGCCUGACGGAGCAACGCCGCGUGAGUGAUGAAGGGUUUCGGCUCGUAAAACUCUGUUAUUAGGGAAGAACAAAUGUGUAAGUAACUGUGCACAUCUUGACGGUACCUAAUCAGAAAGCCACGGCUAACUACGUGCCAGCAGCCGCGGUAAUACGUAGGUGGCAAGCGUUAUCCGGAAUUAUUGGGCGUAAAGCGCGCGUAGGCGGUUUCUUAAGUCUGAUGUGAAAGCCCACGGCUCAACCGUGGAGGGUCAUUGGAAACUGGGAAACUUGAGUGCAGAAGAGGAAAGUGGAAUUCCAUGUGUAGCGGUGAAAUGCGCAGAGAUAUGGAGGAACACCAGUGGCGAAGGCGACUUUCUGGUCUGUAACUGACGCUGAUGUGCGAAAGCGUGGGGAUCAAACAGGAUUAGAUACCCUGGUAGUCCACGCCGUAAACGAUGAGUGCUAAGUGUUAGGGGGUUUCCGCCCCUUAGUGCUGCAGCUAACGCAUUAAGCACUCCGCCUGGGGAGUACGACCGCAAGGUUGAAACUCAAAGGAAUUGACAGGGGACCCGCACAAGCGGUGGAGCAUGUGGUUUAAUUCGAAGCAACGCGAAGAACCUUACCAAAUCUUGACAUCCUUUGAAAACUCUAGAGAUAGAGCCUUCCCCUUCGGGGGACAAAGUGACAGGUGGUGCAUGGUUGUCGUCAGCUCGUGUCGUGAGAUGUUGGGUUAAGUCCCGCAACGAGCGCAACCCUUAAGCUUAGUUGCCAUCAUUAAGUUGGGCACUCUAGGUUGACUGCCGGUGACAAACCGGAGGAAGGUGGGGAUGACGUCAAAUCAUCAUGCCCCUUAUGAUUUGGGCUACACACGUGCUACAAUGGACAAUACAAAGGGCAGCUAAACCGCGAGGUCAUGCAAAUCCCAUAAAGUUGUUCUCAGUUCGGAUUGUAGUCUGCAACUCGACUACAUGAAGCUGGAAUCGCUAGUAAUCGUAGAUCAGCAUGCUACGGUGAAUACGUUCCCGGGUCU
RNAcentral lists this ribosomal RNA (1373 nucleotides) under uncultured bacterium. RNAcentral describes it as "bacterial SSU rRNA". It matches the Rfam family "Bacterial small subunit ribosomal RNA", at positions 28 to 1381 of the family's 1533-position model. The record is from RNAcentral.